RNAcentral lists this ribosomal RNA (594 nucleotides) under uncultured soil bacterium. RNAcentral's name for it is "bacterial SSU rRNA". It matches the Rfam family "Bacterial small subunit ribosomal RNA", at positions 80 to 672 of the family's 1533-position model. The record is from RNAcentral.
UACAGAGGCUGGCGACCGGCAAACGGGUGCGGAACACGUACGCAACCUUCCUUCAAGUGGGGAAUAGCCCAGGGAAACUUGGAUUAAUACCCCGUAAUAUUAUGAGGUGGCAUCACCUUAUAAUUAUAGCUCCGGCGCUUGAAGAUGGGCGUGCGCCUGAUUAGGUAGUUGGCGGGGUAACGGCCCACCAAGCCUUCGAUCAGUAACUGGUGUGAGAGCACGACCAGUCACACGGGCACUGAGACACGGGCCCGACUCCUACGGGAGGCAGCAGUAAGGAAUAUUGGUCAAUGGACGCAAGUCUGAACCAGCCAUGCCGCGUGGAGGAUGAAGGUCCUCUGGAUUGUAAACUUCUUUUAUCUGGGAAGAAAUCCACGAUUUCUAUUGUGGUUGACGGUACCAGAUGAAUAAGCACCGGCUAACUCCGUGCCAGCAGCCGCGGUAAUACGGAGGGUGCAAGCGUUAUCCGGAUUCACUGGGUUUAAAGGGUGCGUAGGCGGGCAGGUAAGUCAGUGGUGAAAUCCCCGAGCUUAACUCGGGAACUGCCGUUGAUACUAUCUGUCUUGAAUACUGUGGAGGUAAGCGGAAUAUGUC